CCUUGGAUGAGCCCGCGGCCUAUCAGCUUGUUGGUGGGGUAACGGCCUACCAAGGCGAUGACGGGUAGCCGGCCUGAGAGGGCGACCGGCCACACUGGGACUGAGACACGGCCCAGACUCCUGCGGGAGGCAGCAGUGGGGAAUAUUGCGCAAUGGGCGGAAGCCUGACGCAGCGACGCCGCGUGGGGGAUGAAGGCCUUCGGGUUGUAAACCUCUUUUACCACUCACGAAGGCCCCUGGA
RNAcentral lists this ribosomal RNA (241 nucleotides) under uncultured bacterium. RNAcentral describes it as "partial 16S ribosomal RNA". It matches the Rfam family "Bacterial small subunit ribosomal RNA", at positions 219 to 459 of the family's 1533-position model. The record is from RNAcentral.